This 63-nucleotide transfer RNA is filed under the name Rhodnius prolixus. Its description in RNAcentral is "tRNA-Gly". Lineage: Eukaryota; Metazoa; Arthropoda; Insecta; Hemiptera; Reduviidae. The record is from RNAcentral.
ACCUUUUUAGUACAAAAAGUAUAUUUAACUUCCAAUUAAAAGGUUUAUAAUUUAAAAAAGGUA